GACGAACGCUGGCGGCGUGCUUAACACAUGCAAGUCGAACCGAAAGGCCCUGCUUUUGUGGGGUGCUCGAGUGGCGAACGGGUGAGUAACACGUGAGUAACCUGCCCUUGACUUUGGGAUAACUUCAGGAAACUGGGGCUAAUACCGGAUAGGAGCUCCUGCUGCAUGGUGGGGGUUGGAAAGUUUCGGCGGUUGGGGAUGGACUCGCGGCUUAUCAGCUUGCUGGUGGGGUAGUGGCUUACCAAGGCUUUGACGGGUAGCCGGCCUGAGAGGGUGACCGGCCACAUUGGGACUGAGAUACGGCCCAGACUCCUACGGGAGGCAGCAGUGGGGAAUAUUGCACAAUGGGCGGAAGCCUGAUGCAGCAACGCCGCGUGCGGGAUGACGGCCUUCGGGUUGUAAACCGCUUUCGCCUGUGACGAAGCGUGAGUGACGGUAAUGGGUAAAGAAGCACCGGCUAACUACGUG
This 468-nucleotide ribosomal RNA is filed under the name uncultured bacterium. Its description in RNAcentral is "partial 16S ribosomal RNA". It matches the Rfam family "Bacterial small subunit ribosomal RNA", at positions 28 to 507 of the family's 1533-position model. The record is from RNAcentral.